AUGCACGCUGGCGGCGUGCCUAAUCCCUGCAAGUCGCGCGCACGGACGAGAAGCUUGCUUCUCUGAUGUUAGCGGCGGACGGGUGAGUAACACGUGGAUAACCUACCUAUAAGACUGGGAUAACUUCGGGAAACCGGAGCUAAUACCGGAUGAUAUUUUGAACCGCAUGGUUCAAAAGUGAAAGACGGUCUUGCUGUCACUUAUAGAUGGAUCCGCGCUGCAUUAGCUAGUUGGUAAGGUAACGGCUUACCAAGGCAACGAUGCAUAGCCGACCUGAGAGGGUGAUCGGCCACACUGGAACUGAGACACGGUCCAGACUCCUACGGGAGGCAGCAGUAGGGAAUCUUCCGCAAUGGGCGAAAGCCUGACGGAGCAACGCCGCGUGAGUGAUGAAGGUCUUCGGAUCGUAAAACUCUGUUAUUAGGGAAGAACAUAUGUGUAAGUAACUGUGCACAUCUUGACGGUACCUAAUCAGAAAGCCACGGCUAACUACGUG
This 496-nucleotide ribosomal RNA is filed under the name uncultured bacterium. RNAcentral describes it as "partial 16S ribosomal RNA". It matches the Rfam family "Bacterial small subunit ribosomal RNA", at positions 29 to 507 of the family's 1533-position model. The record is from RNAcentral.